This 300-nucleotide ribosomal RNA is filed under the name Pseudomonas chlororaphis. RNAcentral describes it as "partial 23S ribosomal RNA". It matches the Rfam family "Bacterial large subunit ribosomal RNA", at positions 2648 to 2925 of the family's 2925-position model. The record is from RNAcentral. Lineage: Bacteria; Pseudomonadati; Pseudomonadota; Gammaproteobacteria; Pseudomonadales; Pseudomonadaceae.
UGGACGUUUGAGAUUUGAGAGGGGCUGCUCCUAUUACGAGAGAACCGGAGUGGAGGAACCUCUGGUGUUCCGGUCGUCACGCCAGUGGCAUUGCCGGGUAGCUAUGUUCGGAAAAGAUAACCGCUGAAAGCAUCUAAGCGGGAAACUUGCCUCAAGAUGAGAUCUCACUGGAACCUUGAGUUCCCUGAAGGGCCGUCGAAGACUACGACGUUGAUAGGUUGGGUGUGUAAGCGCUGUGAGGCGUUGAGCUAACCAAUACUAAUUGCCCGUGAGGCUUGACCAUAUAACACCCAAGCAAUU